Molecule: ribosomal RNA, 492 nt
Filed under: uncultured bacterium
Lineage: Bacteria
Description: partial 16S ribosomal RNA
Rfam family: Bacterial small subunit ribosomal RNA
Source: RNAcentral
AGUGAACGCUGGCGGUAGGCCUAACACAUGCAAGUCGAACGGCAGCACCGUACGAGCUUGCUCUUACGGGUGGCGAGUGGCGGACGGGUGAGGAAUACAUCGGAAUCUUCUUUUUCGUGGGGGAUAACGUAGGGAAACUUACGCUCAUACCGCAUACGACCUACGGGUGAAAGCAGGGGAUCUUCGGACCUUGCGCGAUUGAAUGAGCCGAUGUCGGAUUAGCUAGUUGGCGGGGUAAAGGCCCACCAAGGCGACGAUCCGUAGCUGGUCUGAGAGGAUGAUCGGCCACACUGGAACUGAGACACGGUCCAGACGCCUACGGGAGGCAGCAGUGGGGAAUAUUGGACAAUGGGCGCAAGCCUGAUCCAGCCAUACCGCGUGGGUGAAGAAGGCCUUCGGGUUGUAAAGCCCUUUUGUUGGGAAAGAAAAGCAGCAGGUUAAUACCCCGCUGUUCUGACGGUACCCAAAGAAUAAGCACCGGCUAACUUCGUG